Molecule: ribosomal RNA, 3459 nt
Filed under: Triticum aestivum (bread wheat)
Lineage: Eukaryota; Viridiplantae; Streptophyta; Magnoliopsida; Poales; Poaceae
Description: partial small subunit ribosomal RNA
Source: RNAcentral
AUGUGCGCCGACGUCAUGGUCGGCGACGACAUGCGGACCGGCAUCUCCGGCGGGCAGAAGAAGCGCCUCACAACAGGGGAGAUGCUGGUCGGCCCGACCAAGGUGCUGUUCAUGGACGAGAUAUCCACCGGCCUGGACAGCUCCACCACCUACCAGGUCGUCAGGUGCAUCCAGCAGAUUGUCCACCUGGGCGAGGCUACCGUACUGGUGUCGCUGCUGCAGCCCGCGCCGGAGAUCUUCGACCUCUUCGACGACGUCAUGCUGCUCUCCGAGGGGCAGAUCGUCUACCAGGGUCCCAGGGAGUACGUGCUCGAGUUCUUCGAGAGGUGCGGCUUCCGCUGCCCCGAGAGGAAAGGUGCUGCUGAUUUCUUGCAAGAGGUUACAUCAAAGAAAGAUCAGGCGCAAUACUGGAUACAGAAUGAAAAGCCUUAUCACUAUGUAUCAGUACCUGAAUUUGUUUUAAAGUUCAGGAAAUUUCACAUGGGGAAGAGCCUAAAAAAGCAGCUUUCGGUUCCUUUCAACAAGAGAAAAAUCCACAAAUCUGCUCUGGUUUUCUCCGAUCAGUCUGUUUCAACUUCAGAGCUUCUCAAGACCUCGUUCUCCAAAGAAUGGCUUCUCAUGCAGAGAAACUCAUUUAUCUACGUUUUCAAAAUAGUUCAGGGAAUCAUAGUUGCUCUAGUAGCAUCAACGGUUUUCUUGCGUACACGGCUCCAUGAAGAUACUGAGGAAGAUGGCCAAGUCUACCUAGGGGCACUUAUAUUUAUCAUGAUAGCCAACAUGUUCAAUGGUUUUGCCGAGGCAACCCUUACUCUCGCAAGGCUACCUGUAUUCUACAAACAUAGAGAUUUUCUAUUCUAUCGGCCAUGGCAUUUUACACUUCCAAAUGUUCUCCUGAAAGUCCCUAUGGCCUUGCUUGAGUCAAUAAUUUGGGUUGUAAUAACCUACUACCUCAUAGGCUUUUCCCCUGAAGCUAGCAGGUUCUUCAAACAUCUGCUUAUAGUAUUCUUGAUCCAGCAGGCGGCUGGAGGAUUGUUCAGGCUUGUUGCUGGCUUAUGUAGGACUGUUGUCGUCACUAAUACCGCUGGAUCUCUUGCCCUUCUGAUCAUAUUUGUAAUGGGAGGAUUCAUCCUACCAAGAGAUGCAAUUCCAAAAUGGCUGGUAUGGGGUUAUUGGUGUUCACCUCUUACGUAUGCAUACAUUGCUCUUGCUGUCAAUGAGAUGGAUUCUCCGAGGUGGCUGGACCAAUCUAUAGCUGAUGGAAGGCCAUUGGGAGUGGCAGUUCUAGAAAAUGCAGGUGUAUUCACUGGCAAGGAGUGGUACUGGAUUGGAGCAGGUGCCCUUCUAGGGUUCACUGUUGUGUUCAAUGUGCUAUUCACACUAUCGCUUAUGUACCUGAACGCCAUUGGAAAACCGCAAGCCAUCUUGCCUGAAGAAACUGAUGGAUUUCCAGAGAAUGACUAUGAGCAAAAGAAGGAGCCACAUAUAACACAGAGAACUACGGUUCGAACAACAGAACCUACAUCCCCGAACUCAAUUAUCACAUUGGAUAAGGUGCUUGAACAAUUACGUGGCCGUUCCCCAAAUACUUCUGAUAGGUCUGUUGGAUAUGCUCCAGGAAGAGGGAUGGUUCUUCCGUUUGAACCUCUCUCCAUGUCCUUCAAUGAGAUAAACUACUAUGUUGACAUGCCUGCGGAGAUGAAGACUCAAGGAGUAACCGCUGAUAAGCUUCAGCUGCUGUCAGGGAUAUCUGGUGCUUUUCGCCCUGGGGUUUUGACUGCCCUUAUGGGUGUGAGUGGAGCUGGAAAGACCACCCUCAUGGAUGUCUUGUCUGGGAGGAAGACUGGUGGAUACAUUGAAGGGGAAGUCUACAUAUCUGGUUACCCUAAGAACCAAGCAACAUUUGCAAGAAUGUCGGGUUACUGCGAGCAAAAUGACAUCCACUCUCCACAGAUCACAGUCAGAGAGUCGCUACUCUUCUCUGCUUUCCUGCGUCUGCCUAAGGAGGUCACUGAUCAAGAGAAGAAGGUAUUUGUGGAUGAAGUAAUGGAACUAAUUGAACUGAACGGUCUCAAGGAUGCUAUUGUGGGUCUCCCUGGUGUGAACGGUCUGUCGACUGAACAAAGAAAGAGGUUGACUAUUGCUGUAGAGCUUGUGGCAAACCCCUCAAUUAUCUUCAUGGACGAACCAACUUCAGGCCUUGAUGCAAGAGCUGCCGCAAUUGUCAUGAGAACUGUUCGGAACACUGUCAAUACUGGAAGAACUGUUGUCUGCACCAUCCAUCAACCAAGUAUAGACAUUUUUGAAGCUUUUGAUGAGCUGCUAUUACUGAAAAGAGGAGGUCAAGUCAUAUAUUCUGGACCGCUGGGUAGGAACUCCCAUAAAGUUGUCGAAUACUUUCAGGAAAUUCCUGGAGUCCCAAAGAUCAAAGAGAAGUGCAACCCAGCUACAUGGAUGUUGGAUGUAAGCUCUGCGGCAGCAGAAGUUCGACUGAAGAUUGAUUUUGCCGAAAGUUACAAAUCUUCGACUAUGCAUCAGCGGAAUAAAGCAUUAGUCAAAGAGCUGAGCAAGCCACCUCCUGGUACCAGCGAUCUUUACUUCCCUUCUCAAUACUCGCAGAGUUCCUUUGGUCAGUUUAAAUUCUGUCUCUGGAAGCAAUGGUGGACUUACUGGAGAAGUCCUGAUUACAACCUCGUCAGGAUGUUCUUUGCAUUUGUUACGGCCUUAGUGCUGGGGGUUAUAUUCUGGAGGGUUGGUCUAAAGAUGAGGAGCUCGGGUGAUCUUUUAGUCAUUGUGGGAUCAAUGUAUGCCGCUGUUAUGUUCGUUGGCUGCGAGAAUUGUAUCUGUGUUCAACCUGUUGUUGCUGUGGAAAGGACUGUAUUUUACAGAGAGCAAGCAGCUGGAAUGUACUCAGCUAUACCCUAUGCCCUCGCUCAGGUAGUUGUGGAGAUACCAUAUGUGUUCGUUGAGACUCUGGUUUAUACUCUUAUCGUCUACCCGAUGAUGUCUUUCGAGUGGACACUAGUAAAGUUCUUCUGGUUCUUCUAUGUUUCAUUCUUCACCUUCCUGUAUUUCACUUACUACGGCAUGAUGACUGUCUCCGUAUCGCCAAAUGGUCAAGUUGCUUCUAUAUUUGCCGCUGCCUUCUACUCCUUUUUCAAUCUCUUCUCAGGGUUCUUCGUUGCAAGAUCGAAAAUCCCAAAAUGGUGGAUUUGGUACUAUUGGCUUUGCCCAGUGGCAUGGACAGUUUACGGGCUUGUUGUGUCACAGUACGGGGAUGUGGAAGAUCUUAUCAAGGUGCCUGGUCAACCCGAUCAGCAAGUCUCAUCUUUCAUCAAGAGCUACUUCGGUUAUGAUAACGACUUCAUGGGCGUCGUGGCGGUUGUGCUGGCAGGCUUCACUGUCUUCUUCGCUAUGAUAUAUGCGUAUUGCAUAAAGACGUUUAAUUUCCAACAGAGAUAG